RNAcentral lists this ribosomal RNA (1317 nucleotides) under Opisthoplatia orientalis. RNAcentral's name for it is "16S ribosomal RNA". The stretch from base 885 to 1244 matches the Rfam family "Archaeal large subunit ribosomal RNA", at positions 2152 to 2714 of the family's 2987-position model. Lineage: Eukaryota; Metazoa; Arthropoda; Insecta; Blattodea; Blaberidae. The record is from RNAcentral.
UAUUAAACAUUUACUAUGUUUAUAUUAUUUUGAGAUAUUUAUAAAAAUCAAUUUAUUGUUGAUGUAUUUGUUAAAGAAAUAAUUGUUUUGGUUUUAUUUUAUUAGUACUGUGAAGGAAAAUUUAGAAAUAAGGUUUAAAAUAUUUUAUAAGUAGAAUUAUUAUUUUGUGCCUUGUGUAUCAGGAUUUAUUAAUAAAAUUUCAUUAAUUUUGAUUUUCUCGAUUUUUUUAGAGUUAAUAAUUUAUAUUAAUUAUUGUUGAAAAAAUAUUUAUAAUAAUUUAUUGGUAGUGAAAUGUUAAUCGUUAAUAAAGAUAUCUAGUUCUUUAGGAAAUAAAUUUAAUUUAGGUUCUUUCUUUAAAAAUUUAUUUGUAAAUUGUGUUUUAGGGAGUAUUAAUAGUAAUAGGGAUAAGCUUAUUAUUAAAUAUUUAUGGAAAAUAAGUUGAUAAAGUAAUAUAAAUUUAGAAAUGAUUAUUAUUAAAAAUAUGUUAAAAUUUUACUUUUAUAUUUAUGAAUUUUUUUUUUUCUUAAUUAUUUACUAAAGUUUUUUAAUUAAUAAUUUAUUGAUUAAAAUUAUGAUAAAAUUAGUAUAUAUAUAUAUAUUAUUUAAUAAAUUUUAUUAUUUAUAAUUUUGGGGAAUUAGGCAAUAAAAGGAAGUAUAAUUAAGGUUAUCCGCCUGUUUAACAAAAACAUCUCUUCUUGGUUACUUAAGAAGUAUAACCUGCCCAAUGAAUAAUAUUUAAUGGCCGCGGUAUAUUGACCGUGCAAAGGUAGCAUAAUAAUUAGUCUUUUAAUUGAAGGCUGGAAUGAAUGGUUAGACGAGAUAACAACUAUCUUAAUUUUAUUAAAUUGAAUUUAAUCUUUAAGUUAAAAAGCUUAAAUUUUUUUUUGGGACGAGAAGACCCUAUAGAGUUUAUAUAUUAUAAAUUGUUCUAAUGAAUUUGUUAUUAAUUAUUUUAUUUAUAUUAUUGUGUUGGGGUGACAGAAAGAUAAUAGUAACUCUUAUUAAUUAAUUUUUAUAAAUGUAUAUAGUAUUUGAUCCACAAUUAGUGAUUAUAAGACUAAAUUACCUUAGGGAUAACAGCGUAAUCUUUUUUAAGAGUUCAUAUCGACAAUAAGGGUUGCGACCUCGAUGUUGGAUUAAGAAUAUAUUUAGGUGUAGAAGCUUAAAAAUUAGGUCUGUUCGACCUUUAAAAUCUUACAUGAUCUGAGUUCAGACCGGCGUAAGCCAGGUUGGUUUCUAUCUAAUAAUAAUUAAGAUAUUUUAGUACGAAAGGACCAAAUAUUUAAAAUAAUUUUUUAUUUAUAUUGAUUAUUAAUA